RNAcentral lists this transfer RNA (95 nucleotides) under Halolamina pelagica. RNAcentral's name for it is "tRNA-Gly". Lineage: Archaea; Methanobacteriati; Methanobacteriota; Halobacteria; Halobacteriales; Haloferacaceae. The record is from RNAcentral.
AGCAGCCGGGCGACGUCGUCGCCGAGGCGCUCGCCGAGCGCUACGACUGAAGGAAGCGGACGGCGGUCUCGGCGAUCGUUUCUCUGGCCUGCUCC